This 62-nucleotide transfer RNA is filed under the name Quadraceps punctatus. RNAcentral's name for it is "tRNA-Tyr". Lineage: Eukaryota; Metazoa; Arthropoda; Insecta; Psocodea; Philopteridae. The record is from RNAcentral.
GUAGAAGAAGUCUCUCGGAGACGGUGUAGUGUAAAUACACAGGUGGUUUUUUCCCUUCUAUA